GACGUAGGGGGCCAGCGUUGUUCGGAAUUACUGGGUGUAAAGGGUUCGUAGGCGGUGCGGUAAGUCGGAAGUGAAAUCUCUGGGCUUAACUCAGAGGCUGCUUCCGAAACUGCUGUGCUAGAGUGCGGGAGAGGCGCGUGGAAUUGCAGGUGUAGCGGUGAAAUGCGUAGAUAUCUGCAGGAACACCCGUGGCGAAAGCGGCGCGCUGGACCGUUACUGACGCUGAGGAACGAAAGCUAGGGGAGCAAACAGG
This 253-nucleotide ribosomal RNA is filed under the name uncultured bacterium. RNAcentral describes it as "partial 16S ribosomal RNA". It matches the Rfam family "Bacterial small subunit ribosomal RNA", at positions 524 to 776 of the family's 1533-position model. The record is from RNAcentral.